RNAcentral lists this ribosomal RNA (253 nucleotides) under uncultured bacterium. Its description in RNAcentral is "partial 16S ribosomal RNA". It matches the Rfam family "Bacterial small subunit ribosomal RNA", at positions 524 to 776 of the family's 1533-position model. The record is from RNAcentral.
UACGUAGGGGGCAAGCGUUGUCCGGAAUCAUUGGGCGUAAAGCGCGCGUAGGCGGCCCUGUAAGUCCGUUGUGAAAGUCAAAGGCUCAACCUUUGAAAGCCGAUGGAUACUGCAGGGCUAGAGUCCGGAAGAGGCGAGUGGAAUUCCUGGUGUAGCGGUGGAAUGCGCAGAUAUCAGGAGGAACACCAAUAGCGAAGGCAGCUCGCUGGGACGGUACUGACGCUAAGGCGCGAAAGCGUGGGUAGCAAACAGG